Molecule: ribosomal RNA, 498 nt
Filed under: Triticum aestivum (bread wheat)
Lineage: Eukaryota; Viridiplantae; Streptophyta; Magnoliopsida; Poales; Poaceae
Description: partial small subunit ribosomal RNA
Source: RNAcentral
AUGGGCAUCAGCACUGCCGUCCAUGAUGCUAUUGCAUGCUUAUCCUAUCGUCAUCGUGCUGCACUAAACCCAUACUUCCUUGGAAAGAUUGGAUGGCAGAAGUUUGAUGGAGCAACUAUUGCCCUAACAGAAGCGCAGAAGAUGAAGUUCUCCCCACUGUUAGUGUACAAUCAGGAUGUAGAACAAUACAUCAAGAAUCUUCAGAUGGACCUCCUAGAAGCCCUGUUUGACAAUGAAGCACUACAAGAAGAGGUCGAGACUCAGAGACUGAAGGUAGACAAGCUGGAGGAGGAGAACCUCGAGAUCCCGAGAAUGCGUCAGGAACUGAAAAGCAGCAGGACCAUGGAUCAUGCAAAGGACGUUGAGAUCCAGAAGCUCAAGGAACAACUUCAGGACAUACAAGGUCGUCACAAGAAAAUCCGCGUCAACAGGGAAAAUCUAGCAGAAGAAUUGGAGGAGAUCAAGUCCACACAGAAGAAGCCCCAAUGGGGACAAUGA